CUAGCUGGUCUGAGAGGAUGACCAGCCACACUGGAACUGAGACACGGUCCAGACUCCUACGGGAGGCAGCAGUGGGGAAUAUUGCACAAUGGGCGCAAGCCUGAUGCAGCCAUGCCGCGUGUAUGAAGAAGGCCUUCGGGUUGUAAAGUACUUUCAGCGGGGAGGAAGGGAGUAAAGUUAAUACCUUUGCUCAUUGACGUUACCCGCAGAAGAAGCACCGGCUAACUCCGUGCCAGCAGCCGCGGUAAUACGGAGGGUGCAAGCGUUAAUCGGAAUUACUGGGCGUAAAGCGCACGCAGGCGGUUUGUUAAGUCAGAUGUGAAAUCCCCGGGCUCAACCUGGGAACUGCAUCUGAUACUGGCAAGCUUGAGUCUCGUAGAGGGGGGUAGAAUUCCAGGUGUAGCGGUGAAAUGCGUAGAGAUCUGGAGGAAUACCGGUGGCGAAGGCGGCCCCCUGGACGAAGACUGACGCUCAGGUGCGAAAGCGUGGGGAGCAAACAGGAUUAGAUACC
Molecule: ribosomal RNA, 511 nt
Filed under: Escherichia coli
Lineage: Bacteria; Pseudomonadati; Pseudomonadota; Gammaproteobacteria; Enterobacterales; Enterobacteriaceae
Description: bacterial SSU rRNA
Rfam family: Bacterial small subunit ribosomal RNA
Source: RNAcentral